GCCCAGAUGGCGUAAUGGUAGCCGCGGCGGACUCAAAAUCCGCUGGUAGUGAUACCGUGUGGGUUCGAAUCCCAUUCUGGGCACCA
Molecule: transfer RNA, 86 nt
Filed under: Anaeroplasma bactoclasticum
Lineage: Bacteria; Bacillati; Mycoplasmatota; Mollicutes; Anaeroplasmatales; Anaeroplasmataceae
Description: tRNA-Leu
Rfam family: tRNA
About the family: Transfer RNA (tRNA) molecules are approximately 80 nucleotides in length. Their secondary structure includes four short double-helical elements and three loops (D, anti-codon, and T loops). Further hydrogen bonds mediate the characteristic L-shaped molecular structure. tRNAs have two regions of fundamental functional importance: the anti-codon, which is responsible for specific mRNA codon recognition, and the 3' end, to which the tRNAs corresponding amino acid is attached (by aminoacyl-tRNA synthetases). tRNAs cope with the degeneracy of the genetic code in two manners: having more than one tRNA (with a specific anti-codon) for a particular amino acid; and 'wobble' base-pairing, i.e. permitting non-standard base-pairing at the 3rd anti-codon position.
Source: RNAcentral